Long non-coding RNA from Bombus terrestris (buff-tailed bumblebee), 895 nucleotides. RefSeq lists it as uncharacterized. The record is from RefSeq and is a predicted model, not a curated record. NCBI's taxonomy places the organism in Eukaryota, Metazoa, Arthropoda, Insecta, Hymenoptera, Apidae. The transcript has 4 exons.
GAGUGAAUUAUGUGGUUGUCUUGCCUGGCAGUAUCGACAUCGUUACUAUGUACAAAAUUUAAAAGUAAAUAAACUCCGGACAAAGCAAUAUCGUCCCUACCUGGAAUCGUCAACCAGAGUCGAGGUCAACCUUUCCGGUAGUCCCCGACCAGUAUAAAUAAACGAACAUGCUCUCUAGGACGAUCAUUUUCUGGUAUCCUUACAGCGAGUAGCAUUGAGCGAGCAACGAUUCAGGCGUAUUAUACCAACUCUGUAUUCUAUAUUUAGACAAGCUGGCCGAAGAAAAAUCCAAGAGGUCGGGACGCGACGAAGCUUCCUGUGCGGAAACAAAAAUCACUAAAGUGCGAACUGCCCAACGAAAAGCAAAGUUGCCAGGUGUUUCAAAUGCCAGGAGUACGGACACAUCGCAUCGCAAUUUAACAAUUGCGUCAAGAGGGUAAUUGCAACCCGGAGUGCUCGAUGGGUCUAAAGCAAAACAUCAAUGCCAGAUGAAAUACACUCACGACGGUAAGAUAGUUGCAAAACUGGAUGGAAAUAGAUUCCUCCCUCAAAGGAAAUAUGGACAGAAAAACACCUCCUGGGAAGAUGCGGCAGUGAAACGUCGAGAGGUUUCUUAGUAUCUUUGAGCGGAAAUUUCGAAGAUGAACGGACGUCCUCGACCGUACCCAGAUCGUGAUCGAAUGUGGAACUGGAAAAUCCCGAGGAUGUCCAUUUUAGAAGCAAAAUGAAGAAAUCCGAGAACCAUGGCGUCUCCAUAGAAAGGCAAGAAGCUGUUGGAUCUUUCUACGUGGUUUUGAAGAUGGACGUAAAUGGAGUGGAAUGGAACGAUUGAAAAGCGAAAAUGAAGCAAACUAUUAGAAAAUUUAUAUAAAUGAAAAUAAAUAAUAUCACUAUA